Molecule: ribosomal RNA, 164 nt
Filed under: Dendrobium zhenghuoense
Lineage: Eukaryota; Viridiplantae; Streptophyta; Magnoliopsida; Asparagales; Orchidaceae
Also listed under: 1 other name
Description: 5.8S ribosomal RNA
Rfam family: 5.8S ribosomal RNA
About the family: 5.8S ribosomal RNA (5.8S rRNA) is a component of the large subunit of the eukaryotic ribosome. It is transcribed by RNA polymerase I as part of the 45S precursor that also contains 18S and 28S rRNA.
Source: RNAcentral
GACACGACUCUCGGCAAUGGAUAUCUCGGCUCUCGCAUCGAUGAAGAGCGCAGCGAAAUGCGAUAUGUGGUGCGAAUUGCAGAAUCCCGCGAACCAUCGAGUCUUUGAACGCAAGUUGCGCCCGAGGCCAACCGGCCAAGGGCACGUCUGCCUGGGCGUCAAGC